UACAGAGGUCUCAAGCGUUGUUCGGAUUCAUUGGGCGUAAAGGGUGCGUAGGCGGCGCGGUAAGUCGGGUGUGAAAUCUUGGAGCUUAACUCCGAAACUGCAUUCGAUACUGCCGUGCUUGAGGACUGGAGAGGAGACUGGAAUUUACGGUGUAGCGGUGAAAUGCGUAGAUAUCGUAAGGAAGACCAGUGGCGAAGGCGGGUCUCUGGACAGUUCCUGACGCUGAGCCGCGAAAGCCAGGGGAGCGAACGGG
This 253-nucleotide ribosomal RNA is filed under the name uncultured bacterium. RNAcentral describes it as "partial 16S ribosomal RNA". It matches the Rfam family "Bacterial small subunit ribosomal RNA", at positions 524 to 776 of the family's 1533-position model. The record is from RNAcentral.